This 253-nucleotide ribosomal RNA is filed under the name uncultured bacterium. RNAcentral describes it as "partial 16S ribosomal RNA". It matches the Rfam family "Bacterial small subunit ribosomal RNA", at positions 524 to 776 of the family's 1533-position model. The record is from RNAcentral.
UACGAAGGGGGCUAGCGUUGUUCGGAAUUACUGGGCUUAAAGGGUGCGUAGGCGGCGCGGAAAGUUGGGUGUGAAAUCCCUCGGCUUAACCGAGGAAUUGCGCUCAAAACUACCGUGCUCGAGGGAGAUAGAGGAAUGCGGAACUUACGGUGGAGCGGUGAAAUGCGUUGAUAUCGUAGGGAACACCGGUGGCGAAAGCGGCAUUCUGGAUCUCUUCUGACGCUGAGGCACGAAAGCUAGGGUAGCAAACGGG